RNAcentral lists this ribosomal RNA (655 nucleotides) under uncultured bacterium. RNAcentral's name for it is "bacterial SSU rRNA". It matches the Rfam family "Bacterial small subunit ribosomal RNA", at positions 232 to 885 of the family's 1533-position model. The record is from RNAcentral.
CGCGGCCUAUCAGCUUGUUGGUGGGGUGACGGCCUACCAAGGCGACGACGGGUAGCCGGCCUGAGAGGGUGUCCGGCCACACUGGGACUGAGAUACGGCCCAGACUCCUACGGGAGGCAGCAGUGGGGAAUAUUGCACAAUGGGCGCAAGCCUGAUGCAGCGACGCCGCGUGGGGGAUGACGGCCUUCGGGUUGUAAACCUCUUUCACCAUCGACGAAGGUCCGGGGUUUCUCGGAUUGACGGUAGGUGGAGAAGAAGCACCGGCCAACUACGUGCCAGCAGCCGCGGUAAUACGUAGGGUGCGAGCGUUGUCCGGAAUUGCUGGGCGUAAAGAGCUCGUAGGUGGUUUGUCGUGUUGUUCGUGAAAUCUCACGGCUUAACUGUGAGCGUGCGGGCGAUACGGGCAGACUGGAGUACUGCAGGGGAGACUGGAAUUCCUGGUGUAGCGGUGGAAUGCGCAGAUAUCAGGAGGAACACCGGUGGCGAAGGCGGGUCUCUGGGCAGUAACUGACGCUGAGGAGCGAAAGCGUGGGGAGCGAACAGGAUUAGAUACCCUGGUAGUCCACGCCGUAAACGGUGGGUACUAGGUGUGGGUUUCCUUCCUUGGGAUCCGUGCCGUAGCUAACGCAUUAAGUACCCCGCCUGGGGAGUACGG